GUUACCCAAAAUUUAGAGUCUUUCAAUAUUCAAUAAACAAGUAACUAAAUCUAGAAAUACAUAUGUCUAACGCAAAAUUUUCAGUUGUUUUCCCCAUCAUCUUCCUUAUAAUGUUUGCUUUAGUGGAGGAUAAUAUGGGAUGUCAGGCGAGUCUUGGUGAUUGCCGUAUAUGCGGAAUAAAAUGCAGUUAUUACGGAAGACAUGCAGAGGCUCACUGUAUCGGUGGUAUUUGUGUUUGCGACUUUCCUUGUAAACCUCCACCAAAACUAUAAAAUCAAAAUUAUUUAAAAUUAAAAAGAUGAAAUAAUACUUUGAAUAUCAUAAUCAUAAUUGCUGCAGUCUUUCAUAGUAUUUUAAAUAAUAAUUCCGUGAACCUUUGAUAUCAA
Molecule: long non-coding RNA, 386 nt
Organism: Brassica oleracea var. oleracea
Lineage: Eukaryota; Viridiplantae; Streptophyta; Magnoliopsida; Brassicales; Brassicaceae
Exons: 2
Source: RefSeq, a predicted model, not a curated record